UGAUGGGCUGGCACAGGAUAAGUUGUCGUUGAUGGGCCAGUAGGAACAUGUUUCAUGCGCGAACCUGGGCCUGUUCGAACAACAUGUUCAAGUCCGAAAAUUUCCAUCCACCCAUGGCGACGAGUGGUAUUGGUUUGAAGCCCGUGGGUAUAUGGCAGAGCUGCUAGGAUUUGAAUCGGGUGAGUAAAAAAAGAAAAAGAAGAGAGCAAAUGUCAUCGGGAGCCGUCUCUGUUCCCGGCGGCGG
This 244-nucleotide long non-coding RNA is filed under the name Brachypodium distachyon (stiff brome). Its description in RNAcentral is "long non-coding RNA (BDIS_LNC005504)". Lineage: Eukaryota; Viridiplantae; Streptophyta; Magnoliopsida; Poales; Poaceae. The record is from RNAcentral.